GGAAAAGUGGGUUUCUGCCUGGGGAAGAUCUGGAUUAAAAGAGCAAAGGACUAAAGAGAUGGCAUUACCAUGGUCCAUGUAUGCCACAAAGAGUCCCUUGUGGACAGAAAGGAAGCAGUGAGCAGGAGAAACAGCUACACAAAAAACCGUCAGGAUUUUGUGAGUGUUCGGUUAUACACGGUGAAGAAGGAAGAUGGUUUUAGGGACGGGACAUCAAACAUUCCAGCAGACAGCUGAACACCCAUCACUGGCACUCAAGUGAAAAUUCUGCCCAGGAGUUAAAGAUUUUUCAAUCAAACCCUAAGAGUUUAAGAUGUGCAAAGAAAACAAUUCCUUUGAAGGCAAAAGCAUGAGGAGAGAAGAGCAGAGAGACUAUGCUUUGAAAAAUAUUUACAGCUUAUAGAAGAAUGAAGGGGGGCUUGUGUCCCCCAUGAAGAAGGCAGAAGGCCAGCCGGUGAGAAAUUUCGGAAGAUCAGGAAGCUGUCGUGAGUAGUCCAUGUUGUAUGGGCACUGGACACUGUAUGAUAAUAGGACUUGGACUAUUGUUACUGUUAUUGUAGACAGGCUGAUUGGGAAGGCAGGUCCUUUAUCCUCACCUCUUUGUCCCUCUCUAAAGCUCUCCAACGAGACCAGAAGCAUGGUCAAGCAGGCAUGUGGUCAAGCAUUUGCACCCGAGAAAGUGCUCUCCGUCUCCGGGGGAAGGGGUGAGAUGAAGGGGAGGGUGACCAGGAAGAGGCCAAGUUUGCAAGCAACCCCAUAUCCGACCUUACACAGCUCCUACAGCCCCAGAAGCAUACAGUCCUCUCUGAGAUGCACCACUAAUCUGCACCCUUGCAGAGUGCGAGGAACAAGACAGCUUUCCUUUGUCUUCCUUACAUUUUGUGGAAAAACGGAGUCCUGAGGAGGCUCAUUGUGCUGUGAAAGAUGACUACAUCUGUUAGCA
RNAcentral lists this long non-coding RNA (943 nucleotides) under Homo sapiens (human). Its description in RNAcentral is "HSALNT0047744". Lineage: Eukaryota; Metazoa; Chordata; Mammalia; Primates; Hominidae. The record is from RNAcentral.